RNAcentral lists this ribosomal RNA (561 nucleotides) under uncultured bacterium. RNAcentral's name for it is "bacterial SSU rRNA". It matches the Rfam family "Bacterial small subunit ribosomal RNA", at positions 337 to 916 of the family's 1533-position model. The record is from RNAcentral.
UCCUACGGGAGGCAGCAGUGGGGAAUCUUGGACAAUGGGCGCAAGCCUGAUCCAGCCAUGCCGCGUGAGUGAAGAAGGCCCUAGGGUCGUAAAGCUCUUUCGCCAGGGAUGAUAAUGACAGUACCGGGUAAAGAAACCCCGGCUAACUCCGUGCCAGCAGCCGCGGUAAUACGGAGGGGGUUAGCGUUGUUCGGAAUUACUGGGCGUAAAGCGCACGUAGGCGGAUUGGAAAGUUGGGGGUGAAAUCCCGGGGCUCAACCCCGGAACUGCCUCCAGAACUAUCAAUCUUGAGUUCGAGAGAGGUGAGUGGAAUUGCGAGUGUAGAGGUGAAAUUCGUAGAUAUUCGCAGGAACACCAGUGGCGAAGGCGGCUCACUGGCUCGAUACUGACGCUGAGGUGCGAAAGUGUGGGGAGCAAACAGGAUUAGAUACCCUGGUAGUCCACACCGUAAACGAUGAAUGCCAGACGUCGGGCAGCAUGCUGUUCGGUGUCACACCUAACGGAUUAAGCAUUCCGCCUGGGGAGUACGGUCGCAAGAUUAAAACUCAAAGGAAGUGACGG